This 229-nucleotide long non-coding RNA is filed under the name Elaeis guineensis (African oil palm). RNAcentral describes it as "long non-coding RNA (EGUI_LNC017129)". The record is from RNAcentral. Lineage: Eukaryota; Viridiplantae; Streptophyta; Magnoliopsida; Arecales; Arecaceae.
AACAGUUCUGUAGAAGUAUUCUUUGUGUCAUUUAGAUAAAAUUUUUUUAAUCAAAAAUGACAUCUCUACAUUACAGAGAAUAAAAGCUUGGUUGUUAUCUCUAUUCUCCAUAAAGGUUUGGAAGGUUAUAAGCACCAUCCUUAAGUAUUUAUGAAAUACUAAGGAUCAAUGGCUCGUUUAUAAAGAAUCUGACUUAAAACUUGUGAAAUAUUAAUUCCAGUUUCUAGUC